CGGAGUGAAGCUUGUUAGCGCGCUUCGUUCGGGACGAAGAAGUCGCAGGUUCAAAUCCUGUCGUCCCGACCA
RNAcentral lists this transfer RNA (72 nucleotides) under Verrucomicrobiales bacterium. Its description in RNAcentral is "tRNA-Pro". It matches the Rfam family "tRNA". Rfam says of the family: Transfer RNA (tRNA) molecules are approximately 80 nucleotides in length. Their secondary structure includes four short double-helical elements and three loops (D, anti-codon, and T loops). The record is from RNAcentral. Lineage: Bacteria; Pseudomonadati; Verrucomicrobiota; Verrucomicrobiia; Verrucomicrobiales.